ACUCAAAGGAAUUGACGGGGGCUCACACAAGCGGUGGAGCAUGUGGCUCAAUUCGAAGCAACGCGAAGAACCUUAUCCUAGGUUUGACAUGCACGGAUUAACUCCCUGAAAGGGGAGCCAGGCCUUCGGGUACAACGUGCACAGGUGCUGCAUGGCUGUCGUCAGCUCGUGCUGUGAAGUGUCGGGUUAAGUCCCUUAACGAGCGAAACCCCUGUCGUUAGUUGCUAACAGGUUAUGCUGAGGACUCUAACGAGACUGCCGGCGUCAAGUCGGAGGAAGGUGGGGAUGACGUCAAGUCCUCAUGGCCUUUAUGCCUAGGGCUGCACACGUGCUACAAUGGCGCGCACAGAACGACGCAAGACCGCAAGGUGGAGCAAAUCGCUCAAAUCGCGCCCCAGUUCGGAUUGAGGGCUGCAACCCGCCCUCAUGAAGUCGGAAUCGCUAGUAAUCGCGGAUCAGCUACGCCGCGGUGAAUAUGUUCCUGAGCCUUGUACACACCGCCCGU
Molecule: ribosomal RNA, 505 nt
Filed under: uncultured bacterium
Lineage: Bacteria
Description: partial 16S ribosomal RNA
Rfam family: Bacterial small subunit ribosomal RNA
Source: RNAcentral